AGGACGAACGCUGGCGGCGUGCCUAACACAUGCAAGUCGAGCGAGGAGAUCCUUCGGGAUGAUCCUAGCGGCGGACGGGUGAGGUAACACGUGGGCAACCUGCCUCAUAGAGAGGAAUAGCCUUCCGAAAGGGAGGUUAAUACCUCAUAACAUUGCAGUUUCGCAUGGAACAGCAAUUAAAGGAGUAAUCCGCUAUGAGAUGGGCCCGCGGCGCAUUAGCUAGUUGGUGAGGUAACGGCUCACCAAGGCGACGAUGCGUAGCCGACCUGAGAGGGUGAUCGGCCACAUUGGGACUGAGACACGGCCCAGACUCCUACGGGAGGCAGCAGUGGGGAAUAUUGCACAAUGGGGGAAACCCUGAUGCAGCCAACGCCGCGUGAGUGAUGACGGCCUUCGGGUUGUAAAGCUCUGUCUUCAGGGACGAUAAUGACGGUACCUGAGGAGGAAGCCACGGCUAACUACGUGCCAGCAGCAGC
This 476-nucleotide ribosomal RNA is filed under the name uncultured bacterium. Its description in RNAcentral is "bacterial SSU rRNA". It matches the Rfam family "Bacterial small subunit ribosomal RNA", at positions 26 to 518 of the family's 1533-position model. The record is from RNAcentral.